This 88-nucleotide small RNA is filed under the name Cloacibacterium normanense. Its description in RNAcentral is "Flavo-1 RNA". It matches the Rfam family "Flavo-1 RNA". Lineage: Bacteria; Pseudomonadati; Bacteroidota; Flavobacteriia; Flavobacteriales; Weeksellaceae. The record is from Rfam by way of RNAcentral.
UUCUAGCCCUGAUUGCAGUGGAAAUCCUUUUUGUUGGCUUAGCUUGUCGAAGCCAUAAAAAAGAUUGUAACGAAAAGCAGGACUGAAA